CCUACGGGGUGCAGCAGUGAGGAAUAUUGGUCAAUGGGCGCUAGCCUGAACCAGCCAAGUAGCGUGAAGGAUGACUGCCCUACGGGUUGUAAACUUCUUUUAUAUGGGAAUAAAGUGCAGUAUGUAUACUGCUUUGCAUGUACAUUAUGAAUAAGGAUCUGCUAACUCCGUGACAGCAGCCGCGGUAAUACGGAGGAUCCGAGCGUUAUCCGGAUUUAUUGGGUUUAAAGGGAGCGUAGGCGGGUUGUUAAGUCAGUUGUGAAAGUUUGCGGCUCAACCGUAAAAUUGCAGUUGAUACUGGCAGCCUUGAGGACAGUAGAGGUAGGCGGAAUUCGUGGUGUAGCGGUGAAAUGCUUAGAUAUCACGAAGAACUCCGAUGGCGAAGGCAGCUUGCUGGACUGUAACUGACGCUGAUGCUCGAAAGUGUGGGUAUCAAACAGGAUUAGAUACCCUAGUAGUC
RNAcentral lists this ribosomal RNA (460 nucleotides) under uncultured bacterium. Its description in RNAcentral is "partial 16S ribosomal RNA". It matches the Rfam family "Bacterial small subunit ribosomal RNA", at positions 338 to 795 of the family's 1533-position model. The record is from RNAcentral.